This is a long non-coding RNA of Danio rerio (zebrafish), 1852 nucleotides long. The record is from Ensembl. Lineage: Eukaryota; Metazoa; Chordata; Actinopteri; Cypriniformes; Danionidae.
UACAAACACUUCUCUUUGCGGUAUUUCAUAGCUCCAGGUUAAGAAAAUAACAUAUAAAAAUAAAAACUUAGCACUGCAUACUAUAUAUAAAAUCUCAGAACGUAAAUACACGUUAAAGUGAACAACAAAUAACAAACAAUCGAGUAUUUAGUAAUUACUUUCACCAACAGAGAGCGCUGCAAGCUAAACUGAUCAUUAGUUCGCACGCCACUAUUUCCAGCCUCGAACCAGGAGGAGAGCGGGAGCACUGCAGGCAAAAGUUAUCAGAAGACGGUUGCUGGCUUCAAGAUGUUGAGUUGCAUAUCAUGAAUCACCAAUGUCCAUGGUUUCAGCCUAAAAUCUUCUUUAAUGUUCUGCCGAAUGAAAAAAGAAAUGGAUGGCCACAGGACUGGAAAACAGUCAUCUAUCUGAAUGCAGAUCUCAUACUGUGGCCGCAGGACUCCAGACAGCAACAAUAUAUCAAUGACACAGCAGACAUCUGAAGUGAAAAACGUUUCAUCAUUUGCUUUUUUCAGGAAUGAUUAAGACACAAAGCUUAGCAAGUGAAAUGGCUUUCUGCACAGCAAAACCCCUCGGGUUCUCUGAACCGCCUGCACGUAUGCUCUGGAUUGGCAAGUGGUGCGCUAUGAAAGUAUUUAGGUUUUGUAAGGUUAUAGGGUUUGAAAGUAUAGGUUUUGUAAUUCAAAAUGAGGUGGAAGUUGUUUUGAUGACUUGUCAUAUCCAAUCAUUUUGAGGCACCACUGAAGGAGCAUAACGAUCAGAGAAACAGAGGAAACAGGGACAAACUAACACCAUGGCAUAUGCAAUGUGUGUGUGUGUGUGUGUGUGUGUGUGUGUUUCAGACACAGAGACACAAGCACAAAGUCAGUCUAUAGUUCUGAUUCACAGUUCACUCCUGUUAGGCAGGUGUCAAGAAAUAUCACAAGGAAAAGAGGAAGCAGUCAGGGAGAAUUAAAGACAGACACUCGGACACACCAAAGAGAAAGUUUCAUCAUGCUGAAAGAUGGAGGAAUGGUUAGGAUGUACGUGCCAAAAUGACUUUAAGUACAAUGAUGACAUUAACAAAAUCUGCAAAAAAUCAUCUUAAUCAGAAUUUUAGCCUUGUUUGAGAAUUAAAUAAAACAAACAUCAUUAACUUCUAAUUUAAAAAUAAUAUUAUAAAUAAAUAUAUAUAUAUAAUUAUGUCAUUUUGUUAAAAACUGCCAAGAUUCAUAUUGUUUUACUGUAUUCUUAGCUAAUAAUAUAGAAUUAUAUGACAUGAAUUUAAUUCAUAUAGAAUUUAAUGACAUGAAUAUAUAUAUAUAUGGACCCUGGACCACAAAACCAGUCAUAUGCACAGCUAGUGUUUUUCAGCCAACAAUAAACUUCUGUUGAAAGCUCAAUGUGACUAUUUUCAAUGGUCACAUAUUACAAUUAGUUAAUGUUAAUUAAUGCAUUUACCAACAUGAACAAACAAUGAACAAUACAUUUACUACUGUAUUUUUCAUGUUAGUUAACGUUAGUUAAUGAAUAUACAGUAGUUCAUUAUUAGUUCAUGUUAACUCACAGUGCAUUAACUAAUGUUAACAAGCAUGGACUUGGAUGUUAAUAAUGCAUUAGUAAAUGUUCAAUUAUGAUUAAUAAAUACUGUACAAGUGUUGUUCAUGAUUAGUUCAUUUUAGUAAAUGCAUUAACUAAUGAACCUUAUUGUAAAGUAUUACCUUUUCAAUUUUAUAAGGUUUCUUUUACAGCAUCAAUGUUGUGAUGUAAUUAUUCAGUUAAAUAUACUUGAGCAUUUAUUUAGUUAGUCAAGCGUAAAACGAUACGAAAGACCGUGUAACCGCUAACGGCAUCAGGAUCAACAGGCAAGUGC